UCUAUUGCGGUGAAUCACAGUAACUGAUCGAAUCCUCAAAUUUGAGGAUGAAUCAUUCAAGUUUCUGCCCUAUCAGCUUUCGAUGGUAGUGUAUUGGACUACCAUGGCAGUAACGGGUAACGGAGAAUUAGGGUUCGGUUCCGGAGAGGGAGCCUGAGAAACGGCUACCACAUCUAAGGAAGGCAGCAGGCGCGUAAAUUACCCAAUGCAGAUUCUGCGAGGUAGUGACAAUACAUAACAACCUGGGGCCUCACGGCUUACGGGAUUGCAAUGAGAACAAUUUAAAAACCUUAACGAGGAACAAGUGGAGGGCAAGUCUGGUGCCAGCAGCCGCGGUAAUUCCAGCUCCACUAGCGUAUAUUAAAGUUGUUGCAGUUAAAAAGCUCGUAGUUGAACUUCUGGUUGCGCGGCGUUUCGGUUUCGAUCGGGCGGACAGCGCAGCCAUCCGUCUGUGAACUAUUACAGCCUUUACUGGUUUGUCUUAGGGAGCAGGCAAUUUACUUUGAAAAAAUUAGAGUGUUUAAGGCAGGCGCUCGCCUGAAUACAUUAGCAUGGAAUAAUGGAAUAGGACGCUUGUCCAUUUGGUUGGUUAUUGGACUCGCGUAAUGAUUAAUAGGGACAGUUGGGGGCAUUAGUAUUUAAUUGU
This 646-nucleotide ribosomal RNA is filed under the name Cyclidium glaucoma. RNAcentral's name for it is "SSU rRNA". It matches the Rfam family "Eukaryotic small subunit ribosomal RNA", at positions 237 to 905 of the family's 1831-position model. The record is from RNAcentral. Lineage: Eukaryota; Ciliophora; Oligohymenophorea; Pleuronematida; Cyclidiidae.